This is an RNA transcript of Octodon degus (degu), 5672 nucleotides long. It is a transcript of the gene named kelch like family member 3, with no coding region annotated. Lineage: Eukaryota; Metazoa; Chordata; Mammalia; Rodentia; Octodontidae. The record is from RefSeq and is a predicted model, not a curated record. The transcript is spliced from 16 exons.
GACGGAGGAGCAGGAGCCUGCGGGGGAGGGGGAGCAAGUGGAUUGCUGCUUUUAGCAGCUGAAAGGGCUGCAGGGAGCUCUGGGUAAGACAUUUUCUACUGCUGCUGCUUCUGCGGUAGAAGCUGCCGGGAGUAAGUCGGAGGAAGGAGGAUCUAGAGGGAGGCGGCUUCAGUGCAGCCAUGCUGAAUCACAGUUGCUGAUCAGCUCUCCUGCUGGACUGCUAGGAGAAUCCAGAUAAGAGCUAGGAUUCCCGGGAGCCUACACAGUCCAGCGGCUAUCACCCCUACCGGGCCUCCCACAAUGGAGAGUGAAAGCAUCAAGCCAAACUCCCAGCCUCUGACACAGGCUGGAGAUGAUGAGAAGAGCCAGAGGACAAUCACCAUCAACCCUGCCCACAUGGGGAAGGCCUUCAAGGUCAUGAAUGAACUGCGGAGUAAGCAGCUGUUGUGUGACGUGAUGAUUGUGGCAGAAGAUGUGGAGAUAGAAGCCCACCGUGUGGUCCUGGCAGCCUGCAGUCCUUACUUCUGUGCGAUGUUCACAGGUGACAUGUCUGAGAGCAAAGCCAAGAAGAUUGAGAUUAAAGAUGUAGAUGGGCAGACACUGAGUAAGCUGAUCGACUACAUCUACACUGCGGAAAUCGAGGUGACUGAAGAGAAUGUGCAGGUGCUGCUCCCAGCGGCCAGCUUACUACAGCUCAUGGAUGUCAGGCAGAACUGUUGUGACUUCUUGCAGUCUCAGCUGCAUCCCACCAAUUGCCUGGGCAUCCGUGCAUUUGCGGAUGUGCAUGCUUGCACGGACCUUCUGCAGCAGGCCAAUGCCUACGCAGAGCAGCACUUUCCGGAGGUGAUGCUGGGGGAGGAGUUUCUCAGCCUGAGUCUGGACCAGGUGUGUAGCUUGAUAUCAAGCGACAAGUUGACCGUUUCUUCAGAAGAGAAGGUAUUUGAAGCUGUGAUUUCAUGGAUCAAUUAUGAGAAAGACACCCGUUUGGAGCACAUGGCCAAACUGAUGGAACACGUCCGACUUCCUCUCUUGCCUAGGGACUACUUAGUCCAGACAGUGGAAGAAGAAGCUUUGAUAAAGAAUAACAACACCUGUAAGGACUUCCUCAUUGAGGCCAUGAAAUACCAUCUGCUCCCACUGGAUCAGAGGCUCCUAAUUAAGAACCCGAGGACCAAGCCCAGGACUCCAGUGAGCCUGCCUAAGGUCAUGAUUGUGGUUGGUGGCCAGGCGCCCAAGGCGAUCCGCAGUGUGGAGUGCUAUGAUUUUGAGGAGGACCGGUGGGACCAGAUUGCUGAACUUCCUUCCAGGAGAUGCAGAGCAGGUGUGGUGUUCAUGGCUGGCCAUGUGUAUGCCGUGGGUGGGUUUAAUGGCUCGCUGCGGGUGAGGACAGUGGAUGUGUAUGAUGGUGUGAAGGACCAGUGGACAUCUAUCGCCAGCAUGCAGGAGCGCCGGAGCACCCUGGGCGCGGCGGUGCUCAAUGAUCUGCUCUACGCAGUGGGCGGCUUUGACGGCAGCACCGGCCUGGCAUCGGUGGAAGCCUACAGCUACAAGACCAACGAGUGGUUCUUUGUGGCCCCAAUGAACACACGGAGGAGCAGUGUGGGUGUGGGCGUUGUGGAGGGGAAGCUGUAUGCUGUUGGAGGCUAUGAUGGGGCUUCCCGCCAGUGCCUGAGCACAGUGGAGCAGUACAACCCAGCGACCAAUGAAUGGAUAUACGUGGCGGACAUGAGCACCCGCCGCAGUGGUGCAGGUGUUGGAGUGCUCAGCGGACAGCUGUACGCCACAGGUGGGCAUGAUGGGCCCUUGGUGAGGAAGAGUGUGGAGGUUUAUGACCCUGGAACAAACACCUGGAAGCAGGUGGCCGACAUGAACAUGUGCCGGCGCAAUGCAGGGGUCUGUGCAGUGAAUGGGCUCCUGUACGUGGUCGGAGGGGACGACGGAUCCUGCAACCUGGCUUCGGUGGAGUACUACAAUCCCGUUACUGACAAAUGGACGCUGCUGCCAACCAACAUGAGCACGGGGCGGAGCUACGCAGGUGUUGCUGUCAUUCACAAGUCCUUGUGACCCAAAUUCCCACUGCCAGGAGAUGGAGGAGGAUGUGGGUGCUACCAGUGACUGGAGCAGCAGGUUGCUAGCAGCCAGAUGUACCUCACUAAGAUGGUCCUUGGUGGUGUGAGAACCACUGUCCUCUGACUUGGCAGACUGGCAUUGUCCCUUAAGUAUGGACCCACCUCUUGCUUCCCGAAGGUGCUUUGGCCUCAGCCCUGAGCAGCAACAUUCCUGACAGCCUCAGCAGCACCUUCAGGCUUUUUCUUUCUUUUUUGGUAUUUAUAUAGGAACAACAGAGAGUCUGGAACCCAUGUGCACAUGUAUGUACUUCUCCCCAAGCCGCAGACAUCCAUUCCCUUUGCUUGCACUGUUGGGAAGGAGAUGGCAAUGGGCCCUGAAGUUGAGACCUUUUUCAAGAAUACUUGGAUUUUUAAGAGGACUUAGACAGAACAUUACCAAUUAUAGGAAGUGAAGCAUCUGGAAGGGGAAUUUGAGGGAGCAUUAGGUCAUUUGCAUUUUUAAAAGACCUAAUAAAUGUGUAAUUCAAUAUGUGUAAUUCCUAAGCUAGCACAUUGCCUAUGUUGUGCUUUUGUGGCUGAGGAGGGAAAUAUUGUGUCUUAUAUUCCGAAGCCUGGUGUUAGCCCUCUGAGAUGUCAAGAUUCUCCUCUUUGUAAACCCUGACAUUGGACCAAUGUGUGUUCUAGACAGAUUCUUCAGGAGAUUGGCAUCCCUGUUUUUUCUACUUCUGUCCUGCAGAAACUUAGGAGACUACUAAGAUUCCCAGCUGGUUGGCCACUUUGAGUAUUUACUGUAUAUAAUGACUGUUGUUUACCUCUCUUGAGAAUGAAGCUUCCCUUCCCAAAGUUAAGCACACAUUGUUUCAUCAAGACAUUUGAAGAGCACUUAGGUACCUAGGAACUCAGAAGCCUUGAGCAAAGGCUAACAUAUCUAGCUUGAGUGGACCCAGAAGAAAAGUCAUGCUUGAAUUAGCCACUCUGGUCUCACUGGCUGCAGGCGUGACUGUGAUUUCAGAGCUCUGCCUGGCUCUGAGUCAGAGAUUUUUUGUCCCAGAUAUCCUUCUUCCAUCUCCAAAGAUGCUUUGAGACUUGUUGGUGAGCACAUAUGGUAAGGGUGAGGGUGAGGAGUCUGGUGUGUGCCUGACAUACAAGUUCUCCACUUUGGAUGAAAGGAAAAUUCUUCACCCCUUUUCCCAUGAUGGAGAAGCUAAGCUUUUCUGCUUAGAUGGGGAAAGCUUGUCAUCUUGUCAUUUGACAAGCUUGUCAUUUGUCAUUGUUCUAGAAAAGAUACCUUGGAAGCUUGCCAGCCAUGUUUUCUGCCUUGGAGUUUUUGCCGUUGGUCCCGCCUUGCAUCCCCCUUCCCAAAGGGCCUUGCCUCUGCCGGUGGUGCUGCAGGGGCCAUGUUCAUUUCAUCUCCAUGCAGCCUUUCUCACAGGGACUAGAUAGAAUACUGCUAUGUCAUCACGAGAGAGUCACUCUGCUCUAGCUGUCCACAGACCCCACCCCGGAGUUACUGUUGCUUUAUCCUCAGGUGCAAUUCUUUCUCCACAGUGGAUGCAUUAGACUUUCAAGUCUAUGCUGGUCACGUGGUAGUGAGGCCUCCCUUCCCUGCCCCUAUUAGGGUGGCCACUCCUGCUUGUGAAUGCAGCUUUGCCGGUGGCAUAUCUGAAAUCUGAUUGCAGUGGUGAAAUGGAAUUGAGGCCCAAGGUUAGAAGCAGCUUAGACGCCACUUGGAUACUGAUUUGGACGACACAGAAGUCAGAUUCUGAAUUCCAAAGGUAUUUUCUCAUAAGUACCCAAUGGCAUCUCUCCAUCUAAAAAGUUGCAGUAUUAUGCAAAUAAAGUGACCUCAUUUUCUGCUAUGCAAUAAGAAUCCUUAAUUCUAUUUCAUGACAAGCCAGUUGCAAUAUCCCCUAAGAUGCUUUUUGAGCUGUCUUACUUUGAUAUAUGUUGUGUAAUGUUUGUAUAUUUCUGAGCCAGAUUCUUUCAAAGAUUGCCUUUUUAUAAAACUGAAGCUAUAGCUUUCAGGCUAAAAUUUUAAUGUAGAGAUUUUUAUAAGAUAUUUUUUUUUUCAAAAUAUAUGAAUCACUUUUUAUUGUCCAUGAUAAUAAAACGUUGUGUUGUAUAUGUCAUUCAGUCUCACACACAGUCUAUGCCUGUAGCUUAUCUUUCCUUUGUUGCCCUUCCUACCCCCCAAAAAACCCCAAAUAUUUCAGGAGCUCCAGUCUUCUUUUUCAUACUGUACUCAAGAGAGACUGCUGAAAAAAAUAGAGAGACUGCUGAAUUGAAAAGCACAGUCACUGGUGUGUCUUGAAUUGCAAGAGAUUAAUGUUAAGCUAGCCUCAGCAUCUACUCGUAGAUGAUAUAGAUUGCUUGUUUGCUCAUUUGUCUAUUUUGCUUGUCUCCCCAUUUGUUAAUUUUAUAGAGUUUGCUUUUGGAGGCCGAGGCUGGAUGGCCAUCUUCUGGUGGCUCUUCCUGCCUGGCAUCGAGCCCGGCUCACUGUAGCAUGCAGCAACCCCAGAGAAGGGCGUGCCCUCUGGCCCGUAUUCUCUGGUUCCUGGAUUCAGUAGGCCAUUCUUCAUUCUCUUCUGUCUUUCUCUUCUUCUGAAACUUCCGUGCCCCAAGGCCUUUGCCUCCAGGUGAUGUCCCUUUUGGGAACAUCCAUCUCCAUACUUUAGGAAAAGGACCUGUCCCAACCCCCGAGAAGAGCACAUUAGGCUUGUGCCUGUGGAUACUCACACCCACCUCCAGCUUGGUGCCUGAGCUUCUCUGUUCCGAGGUCUAUUCUGUGUCUUUAUUUGUCUUGAGCCUCAUUUUUAAAAAACAAAUCUUUGUUCUUAUUUUUGGGGCAGGUGCCAUUUGAAUCGCCUCCAUGCUCCCUGUUUGCCCCUACUUGGGUCAAGUUGGGAAACUGAGCAAACUCAUUCCAGCUUUUAAGGCUCUGUGUGCCUACAGAAGCAAGGGGCUGGAAUUUUUUUUUUUUUAAAUGUUUGCACUAUUUAGAGUUCUAAGCCUCUCACAGUCAGGUGUGUUGCUUUUUCACUGACCAAGCAGGAAAGCUGGAGCCCUUCCAAAUGGGAGUGGAAGCAGCUUCUUCCCUGGUGGGCAGUCACAGCCUCGCGGCCCUGGUGCAGCCUUUGCCCUGGAACUCAGUGACUCAUGGACACAGCAUUGGCCAUGGCAGGAGUGCAUGGAGCUGUGGCAUUUGCGGAAACAAACUGUCCUAGUGCUAUGUCCUUGCCUUUGGUUAUAAAGUGUAAAUUAUUUCCUCCCUUUCUAGUGGCAAUAAAAGACCCAUAUUGGACUUCUUGUUUAAUUUGUACAUGUAAAAUACUUUCUUUGGAAGAAAACUCCGGACACUGAUUGUGAAUGUCUGUGUGGGUGCUCUAUCCCUGUGCUUGUCACAAGCAGUCAGAUUGGAUCAUUGACAUUGCACAGGGAAGGUCCUUGAUCUAGUGCUUUCUGCAUGGAUGCUGAGGAUGUGUAUCAUAGAAAAGAACACUUGUCACAUGCUUGAUCAGUUACAGUGAUAGCUGAGGAAACAUUUCCUCAAAUGUAUUAAUAAAAAAUCAUGUUCUAGUUUCUCAUUUUGAAUGUUUAAUUUUA